CAGAGCGAACGUUUGCGGCGGGCUUAACACAUGCAAGUCGAACGAGAAUCCCUUCGGGGAGGAAAGUGGCGCACGGGUGCGUAACACGUGGAUAACCAACCCAUUGGUUUGGGACAACACCGGGAAACUGGUGCUAAUACCAGAUGUGUCGCAGCUGUCUUCAGGCGGUUGCGAGAAAGGCCCGCAAGGGUCGCCAACGGACGGGUCCGCGUCCCAUCAGCUAGUUGGUGAGGUAAUGGCUCACCAAGGCAAAGACGGGUAGCUGGUCUGAGAGGAUGAUCAGCCACACUGGAACUGAGACACGGUCCAGACUCCUACGGGGAGGCAGCAGGUGGGGAAUAUUGCGCAAUGGGCGAAAGCCUGACGCAGCCACGCCGCGUGAGCGAUGAAGGUCUUCGGAUCGUAAAGCUCUGUGGGGGGAGAAGAAGAAAGCCGGUGAAGAGCCGGCCCUGACGGUAUCCCCUUAGCAAGCACCGGCUAACUCCGUG
This 488-nucleotide ribosomal RNA is filed under the name uncultured bacterium. Its description in RNAcentral is "bacterial SSU rRNA". It matches the Rfam family "Bacterial small subunit ribosomal RNA", at positions 25 to 507 of the family's 1533-position model. The record is from RNAcentral.